AUAUCAAUAAGCGGAGGAAAAGAAACUAACAAGGAUUCCCCUAGUAACGGCGAGUGAACCGGGAAGAGCUCAAAUUUGAAAUCUGGCGUCCUCAGGGCGUCCGAGUUGUAAUCUAUAGAGGCGUUUUCCGCGCCGGACCGUGUAAUAAGUCUCCUGGAACGGAGUAUCAAAGAGGGUGACAAUCCCGUGCUUUACACGACGACCGGUGCUAUGUGAUACGUCUUCUACGAGUCGAGUUGUUUGGGAAUGCAGCUCAAAACGGGUGGUAAACUCCAUCUAAAGCUAAAUAUUGGUGGGAGACCGAUAGCGAACAAGUACCGUAAGGGAAAGAUGAAAAGCACUUUGGAAAGAGAGUUAAACAGUAU
Molecule: ribosomal RNA, 365 nt
Filed under: uncultured fungus
Lineage: Eukaryota; Fungi
Description: eukaryotic LSU rRNA
Rfam family: Eukaryotic large subunit ribosomal RNA
Source: RNAcentral